GCCGUUAUGGUGGAAUGGCAGACACGCCAGCUUGAGGGGCUGGUGGGAGCAAUCUCGUAUGGGUUCAAGUCCCAUUGACGGCACCA
This 86-nucleotide transfer RNA is filed under the name Flavonifractor plautii. RNAcentral's name for it is "tRNA-Leu". It matches the Rfam family "tRNA". From Rfam's summary of the family: Transfer RNA (tRNA) molecules are approximately 80 nucleotides in length. The record is from RNAcentral. Lineage: Bacteria; Bacillati; Bacillota; Clostridia; Eubacteriales; Oscillospiraceae. RNAcentral also lists the same sequence under 1 other name.